This 267-nucleotide unclassified non-coding RNA is filed under the name Glomus sp. Its description in RNAcentral is "partial contains 5.8S ribosomal RNA and internal transcribed spacer 2". The stretch from base 1 to 65 matches the Rfam family "5.8S ribosomal RNA", at positions 84 to 154 of the family's 154-position model. The record is from RNAcentral. Lineage: Eukaryota; Fungi; Glomeromycota; Glomeromycetes; Glomerales; Glomeraceae.
GUGAAUCAUCGAAUCUUUGAACGCAAAUUGCACUCUCCUCGGAGAGUAUGCCUGUUUGAGGGUCAGCCUAUAAAAAAUCGACAUCGUUGCAGUUAAGCGGCGGUGUUUGUAGGAAAUUGGGUCAUUUUAUAUCCUUUUGGUUUUUAAGCGACUUAAAAUUUUCUUUUUGGUUCCAUGAACGUUUCUAAGAUUUAUUUCUCUACACGUGUAAGGUAUCGAUUUUUAUUAGACGUGACCAUCAUAUCGGAUCGCGGCUAUAAUCUUUCA